This 1457-nucleotide ribosomal RNA is filed under the name Enterococcus sp. RNAcentral's name for it is "bacterial SSU rRNA". Lineage: Bacteria; Bacillati; Bacillota; Bacilli; Lactobacillales; Enterococcaceae. The record is from RNAcentral.
UGCAGUCGAACGCUUCUUUUCCCACCGGAGCUUGCUCCACCGGGAAAAGAGGAGUGGCGAACGGGUGAGUAACACGUGGGUAACCUGCCCAUCAGAAGGGGAUAACACUUGGAAACAGGUGCUAAUACCGUAUAACAAUCGAAACCGCAUGGUUUCGUUUUGAAAGGCGCUUUACGGUGCCGCUGAUGGAUGGACCCGCGGUGCAUUAGCUAGUUGGUGAGGUAACGGCUCACCAAGGCCACGAUGCAUAGCCGACCUGAGAGGGUGAUCGGCCACAUUGGGACUGAGACACGGCCCAAACUCCUACGGGAGGCAGCAGUAGGGAAUCUUCGGCAAUGGACGAAAGUCUGACCGAGCAACGCCGCGUGAGUGAAGAAGGUUUUCGGAUCGUAAAACUCUGUUGUUAGAGAAGAACAAGGGUGAGAGUAACUGUUCACCCCUUGACGGUAUCUAACCAGAAAGCCACGGCUAACUACGUGCCAGCAGCCGCGGUAAUACGUAGGUGGCAAGCGUUGUCCGGAUUUAUUGGGCGUAAAGCGAGCGCAGGCGGUUUCUUAAGUCUGAUGUGAAAGCCCCCGGCUCAACCGGGGAGGGUCAUUGGAAACUGGGAGACUUGAGUGCAGAAGAGGAGAGUGGAAUUCCAUGUGUAGCGGUGAAAUGCGUAGAUAUAUGGAGGAACACCAGUGGCGAAGGCGGCUCUCUGGUCUGUAACUGACGCUGAGGCUCGAAAGCGUGGGGAGCAAACAGGAUUAGAUACCCUGGUAGUCCACGCCGUAAACGAUGAGUGCUAAGUGUUGGAGGGUUUCCGCCCUUCAGUGCUGCAGCUAACGCAUUAAGCACUCCGCCUGGGGAGUACGACCGCAAGGUUGAAACUCAAAGGAAUUGACGGGGGCCCGCACAAGCGGUGGAGCAUGUGGUUUAAUUCGAAGCAACGCGAAGAACCUUACCAGGUCUUGACAUCCUUUGACCACUCUAGAGAUAGAGCUUCCCCUUCGGGGGCAAAGUGACAGGUGGUGCAUGGUUGUCGUCAGCUCGUGUCGUGAGAUGUUGGGUUAAGUCCCGCAACGAGCGCAACCCUUAUUGUUAGUUGCCAUCAUUUAGUUGGGCACUCUAGCAAGACUGCCGGUGACAAACCGGAGGAAGGUGGGGAUGACGUCAAAUCAUCAUGCCCCUUAUGACCUGGGCUACACACGUGCUACAAUGGGAAGUACAACGAGUCGCGAAGUCGCGAGGCUAAGCUAAUCUCUUAAAGCUUCUCUCAGUUCGGAUUGUAGGCUGCAACUCGCCUACAUGAAGCCGGWAUCGCUAGUAAUCGCGGAUCAGCACGCCGCGGUGAAUACGUUCCCGGGCCUUGUACACACCGCCCGUCACACCACGAGAGUUUGUAACACCCGAAGUCGGUGAGGUAACCUUUUUGGAGCCAGCCGCCUAAGGUGGGAUAGAUGAUUGGGGUGAAG